GGAAAACAGGCCUCCACCCUGAGUAUCAGGGAAAUGGGAGUCUGUAUGAGGGAUAAAGCAGUGAGACUCGGCAUCAUCUACAUCUCUGAAGCAAAUGAGCUAUGGAGAAAAGCCCGGAAACUGCUGAUCUUCUGAGAUGUUCUCACACGGUUUACACAGCAUGGUGUGAAAAACGAGAAGCUUCCAGUUAGCAGAAGAUCUGCAGGCGGAAUCACCUUGUUGAUGAAACAGGCCAGACUGGUUCAAGCUGACAGGAAACUACAGGCCGAGUGUAAGAUGAGGGGAGAUCAUAUUUGGCCUGUAAAACUGUGUGUGUUCAGUGGAUGAGAACUGCACAGUGAACAUUAGUGUGAACACACACACUCUGUGCUUCAUAUUAAGGU
Molecule: long non-coding RNA, 383 nt
Organism: Ictalurus punctatus (channel catfish)
Lineage: Eukaryota; Metazoa; Chordata; Actinopteri; Siluriformes; Ictaluridae
Source: Ensembl